AUGGCGGGCCCAGACGACUCCAGUGGUAGCAAGUCGCCGGCCACUCCGCGGGCACGGGUCUCCGACGUCAACGAGCUUGCCGUGGCCGAGAGACCCACGGCGCGGAUGGCGUGCGACAUCGGCGGCGCGGCGUGGCCGCAGCUGACCCGAACCAACUACACCGACUGGGCCGUUCUCAUGCAGGUCAUGAUGGAGGGCCGCUACCUCUGGGACACCGUGCAGACGGGCACGGCAGAGCGCAGCGACGACCGGUUGACGCUCGAAGCAAUCCUGCGCGGGAUGCCACCGGAGAUGGCGCCCACCCUCGCCGGCAAGGCCACGGCGAAGGAGGCGUGGGACACUGUCAAGACGAUGCGUCUAGGUGUGGCGCGCGUUCGCGAGGCAAAGCUCGCGACCAUCUCCAAGCAAUACAGCGACAUCCGCUUCGCCGACGGCGAGACCGUCAAUGACUUCUCCAUGAGGAUCUCAAACAUGGUGGCCCAGAUGGCACAUCUCGGAGAAACUGUGCCCGAGAAGCGGGUUGUGCGCAAGUUUCUCUCCGUCGUCCCCAAGAGGUACUCUCAGAUCGCGCUCUCCAUUGAAACUCUCGUCGAUUUGGACACACUGUCGGUGGAGGAGCUCACCGGGCGGCUCAAGGCCGCUGAGGAGAGGUAUGAUCUCGAGUAG
RNAcentral lists this ribosomal RNA (666 nucleotides) under Triticum aestivum (bread wheat). Its description in RNAcentral is "partial small subunit ribosomal RNA". The record is from RNAcentral. Lineage: Eukaryota; Viridiplantae; Streptophyta; Magnoliopsida; Poales; Poaceae.